GAUGAACGCUGGCGGCGUGCCUAAUACAUGCAAGUCGAGCGAACGGACGAGAAGCUUGCUUCUCUGAUGUUAGCGGCGGACGGGUGAGUAACACGUGGAUAACCUACCUAUAAGACUGGGAUAACUUCGGGAAACCGGAGCUAAUACCGGAUAAUAUUUUGAACCGCAUGGUUCAAAAGUGAAAGACGGUCUUGCUGUCACUUAUAGAUGGAUCCGCGCUGCAUUAGCUAGUUGGUAAGGUAACGGCUUACCAAGGCAACGAUGCAUAGCCGACCUGAGAGGGUGAGCGGCCACACUGGCACUGCGACACGGUCCAGGCUCCUACGGGAGGCAGCAGUAGGGAAUCUUCCGCAAUGGGCGAAAGCCUGACGGAGCAACGCCGCGUGAGUGAUGAAGGUCUUCGGAUCGUAAAACUCUGUUAUUAGGGAAGAACAUAUGUGUAAGUAACUGUGCACAUCUUGACGGUACCUAAUCAGAAAGCCACGGCUGACUACGUG
RNAcentral lists this ribosomal RNA (497 nucleotides) under uncultured bacterium. RNAcentral's name for it is "partial 16S ribosomal RNA". It matches the Rfam family "Bacterial small subunit ribosomal RNA", at positions 28 to 507 of the family's 1533-position model. The record is from RNAcentral.